RNAcentral lists this ribosomal RNA (406 nucleotides) under uncultured bacterium. RNAcentral's name for it is "partial 16S ribosomal RNA". It matches the Rfam family "Bacterial small subunit ribosomal RNA", at positions 30 to 526 of the family's 1533-position model. The record is from RNAcentral.
AUUGAACGCUGGCGGCAGGCCUAACACAUGCAAGUCGAGCGCGCGGCGGACGGGUGAGUAAUGUCUGGGAAACUGCCUGAUGUAGGGGGAUAACUACUGUAAACAGUAGCUAAUACCGCAUACCAUCAGAUGUGCCCAGAUGGGAUUAGCGAGUGGGGGGGGUAACGGCUCACCUAGGCGACGAUCCCUAGCUGGGCUGAGAGGAUGACCAGCCACAAGGGAACUGAGACACGGUCCAGACUCCUACGGGAGGCAGCAGUGGGGAAUAUUGCACAAUGGGCGCAAGCCUGAUGCAGCCAUGCCGCGUGUGUGAAGAAGGCCUUCGGGUUGUAAAGCACUUUCAGCGGGGAGGCGUUACCCGCAGAAGAAGCACCGGCUAACUCCGUGCCAGCAGCCGCGGUAAUUC